UACGUAGGGUGCGAGCGUUAAUCGGAAUUACUGGGCGUAAAGCGUGCGCAGGCGGUUUUGUAAGCCUGGUGUGAAAGCCCCGGGCUUAACCUGGGAAUGGCAUUUGGGACUGCAAGGCUUGAGUGCGGCAGAGGAGACUGGAAUUCCCGGUGUAGCAGUGAAAUGCGUAGAUAUCGGGAGGAAUACCGAUGGCGAAGGCAGGUCUCUGGGCUGACACUGACGCUCAUGCACGAAAGCGUGGGGAGCAAACAGG
Molecule: ribosomal RNA, 253 nt
Filed under: uncultured bacterium
Lineage: Bacteria
Description: partial 16S ribosomal RNA
Rfam family: Bacterial small subunit ribosomal RNA
Source: RNAcentral